This is a long non-coding RNA of Oncorhynchus tshawytscha (Chinook salmon), 601 nucleotides long. Lineage: Eukaryota; Metazoa; Chordata; Actinopteri; Salmoniformes; Salmonidae. The record is from Ensembl.
AACAGCACUCUGUAGGGUAGCACCAUGGUGAAGCCAGUGGACAGCCAGCUUCCUUCCUCCUCUGGAUAUAUUGACUACAAUACAAAACCUAGGAGGUUGGUGGUUCUCACCCAGUUCCAGACUUACACAGUAAAUUCCAGAGAUUGUCCUCCAACCUAGAGAUAGAUUGUCGUUUUUUAAACUUUCAGUUUCACUUAUUUAGCUAGCAAAUGCAGCUAGCUAGUUUGCCUACUGAAACACCCAGCUCAAACAGAGGGAUGCUAUGUUAUCUAGCUGGCUAUGACUAUACAACACUGGAACUCUUCCAAGUUAAGAUCGGUGGGAGAAGUCAACAGCCACAUACUGUACAUGUAGAUUUGUCUGUGUGGAGAAACACACAGAGGAGGCACCAUUCAUCGAGGACAUCAUGAUGACAUACGAACCCAAAGGACCAGACACACAACGUUGUUUGGGAGAUGAGUGAACUCACACCUUGGGGAAGAGAUGGAAGACUACAGGGCACAUUAAACAUGUUCAUGGUAUAUUUUUUAUUUUACACAAAGUAUCUCUAUGCCAAGGUGUAAGCAGUAAAUUAUUUUCACUGUUAUUUUCUAUCAUUGAG